This 254-nucleotide unclassified non-coding RNA is filed under the name air metagenome. Its description in RNAcentral is "partial contains small subunit ribosomal RNA, internal transcribed spacer 1, and 5.8S ribosomal RNA". The stretch from base 1 to 46 matches the Rfam family "Eukaryotic small subunit ribosomal RNA", at positions 1786 to 1831 of the family's 1831-position model. The record is from RNAcentral.
AAGUCGUAACAAGGUUUCCGUAGGUGAACCUGCGGAAGGAUCAUUAUAGUAUUCUAUUGCCAGCGCUUAAUUGCGCGGCGAUAAACCUUACACACAUUGUCUAGCUUUUAUUAACUUUGCUUUGGGUAGAAAGCAAUUUCUACCCAGAGGUAUUAAACACAUUUUUUUAAUGUUCAAACCUUUAACCUUUAGUCAUGAAAUUUUUAACAAAAUAAAAAUCUUCAAAACUUUCAACAACGGAUCUCUUGGUUCUC